AGGAGCCUGAAAUCAGCAUUGUUCUGUCAUGCAAACUGGAGCCAAAACCCCCAGAUAUCUGAGCAACAGGGACUGACAAUUCCUAAUUAGCUAUGGAAUGCGACAUUUGUACCAGUAGGAAGGAUUUGACAAGAAUUUUCUUUCACCUUGAAAAACUGCAUGUUCUGAGGAGUUUCUUUGCAAUGCUCCUGUACACUUAGCACACCCUGCUGAGGGAAGGCAGCUUGUUUUCUGCACUGCACUUCUUUCUGAAAGAUAGUUUCUAAACCACGGAUUUCAUUUCUUUCUCAGUAGUGAAAGAUCAUAAACAAGUAUGUCUUUCAAAUUGUUUUUCUACUGGAAGCCUUUAUGAUUCCAUCGAAGAGGAAACUGAACUAUCAUCUCAAUAAGCAAUGGACCAUAAGGCAGUAAACUGAUACAUUGUUAA
Molecule: long non-coding RNA, 427 nt
Organism: Pezoporus flaviventris
Lineage: Eukaryota; Metazoa; Chordata; Aves; Psittaciformes; Psittacidae
Exons: 2
Source: RefSeq, a predicted model, not a curated record